RNAcentral lists this transfer RNA (73 nucleotides) under Stegodyphus mimosarum. It matches the Rfam family "tRNA". Rfam says of the family: Transfer RNA (tRNA) molecules are approximately 80 nucleotides in length. Their secondary structure includes four short double-helical elements and three loops (D, anti-codon, and T loops). Lineage: Eukaryota; Metazoa; Arthropoda; Arachnida; Araneae; Eresidae. The record is from Rfam by way of RNAcentral.
GCCUUCGUGGUGUAAUGGUCAGCACACUGAGCCCGUAUUUCAGAGGUCCGCGGUUCGAUUCCCGGCGAAGGCG